GUGUUCACUUCUGCAGCACAUAUACUAAAAUUGUAACAAUACAGAGAUUAGCAUGGCCCCUGCACAAGGAUGACAUGCAAAUUCAUGAAGCGUUCCACAUUUUU
RNAcentral lists this small nuclear RNA (104 nucleotides) under Bos indicus (zebu cattle). The record is from RNAcentral. Lineage: Eukaryota; Metazoa; Chordata; Mammalia; Artiodactyla; Bovidae. RNAcentral also lists the same sequence under 1 other name.